UACAGAGGGUGCGAGCGUUGUCCGGAAUCACUGGGCGUAAAGGGCGCGUAGGCGGCUUGCGGCGCGUGCGGUGAAAGCCCGGGGCUCAACUCCGGGUCGGCCGUGCGGACGGGCGAGCUGGAGUCUGGUAGAGGCCGAUGGAAUUCCGGGUGUAGCGGUGGAAUGCGUAGAGAUCCGGAAGAACACCAGUGGCGAAGGCGGUCGGCUGGGCCAGUGGGCUGUGCAAACAGUCCUUGAACUGACGCUGAGGCGCGACAGCGUGGGGAGCAAACAGG
RNAcentral lists this ribosomal RNA (275 nucleotides) under uncultured bacterium. RNAcentral describes it as "partial 16S ribosomal RNA". It matches the Rfam family "Bacterial small subunit ribosomal RNA", at positions 524 to 776 of the family's 1533-position model. RNAcentral also lists the same sequence under 1 other name. The record is from RNAcentral.